RNAcentral lists this long non-coding RNA (1459 nucleotides) under Pan troglodytes (chimpanzee). RNAcentral describes it as "long non-coding RNA NONPTRT012877". Lineage: Eukaryota; Metazoa; Chordata; Mammalia; Primates; Hominidae. The record is from RNAcentral.
AAAGGAUGCACUUUCAUGUUUAACAAAAUAAAUUAAAUAUACGGGGCUUCAGCUCAAACUCUACAUAAAAUUACAGAGAUCUGGGGCCACCACGACAGUGGGGUGGGGGGUGGUGUCUGGCCUGGACGGGGUGUGGUCAUCAGCAUGGCUGAAAGACCAGGCGGGUCCCGGGCCCCAGGAGAGACCACAGUCCCUGCAACCCAGUCUUCCUUCCAUCAUUAUUAAUAUUAUCUUCAUUUCUUAAAUAUAAAUACCAAGGCCCCUUCUCUGUGUCAGGGGGAGAAUGCAGUGGGGGUGAGCCACUAGCCAUGGGCUCCAGCCUCUCAGGCUUGGGGCUGCUGUGCCCCCAGCCCCAGCCCACAGCAGUAGGGGACUCCUGGGCACCCAAGGCAGGUGGCAAAAAUAGCCGCCAAGGCCAGGGGACAGAGGCGGGGACUGAGGCGGGGACAGAGGCGGGCAGAGUUGGGGGAGUGACGGUGGAGCAGGGAGAGUCCCUCAUCAACUAUGAGCCUCACGGCACACGUACUGCAGGCCUCACGGCACACCCUCCCAAAAGCAUGUCAGUCUGCGUGUGUCCAGGCAGCAUAGCUGCACCUGUGUGUGCAUGUGUGUCCGGAAGUGUGUGCCCAGGCAGCAUAUCUGCAUGUGUGUGUGCGUGUGUAUCCGGACAGCAUAUCUGCACGUGUGUGCAUGUCCAGACAGCAUAUCUGUGCACGUGUGUGUGUCCAAGCAAUAUCUGCACAUGUGUGUGUGUCGAGGCAGCAUAUCUGUGCACGUGUGUGUCCGGAUACCAUAUCUGCACGUGUGUGCGUGUGUCCAGAUAGCAUAUCCGUGUGUGUGUGUGUCCAGGCAGCACAUCUGCACAUGGGUGUGCGUGUGUGUAUGUUCAGGCAGCAUGUCCUUGUACUGGCAUGUCUCUGUGCGUGUGCGUGCGUUUGGGCAGCUUAUCUGUGUGCCCAGGCGGCAUAUCUGUGCAUGUGCGUGUGUGCGUACAUGUGCCUUCAGGGAGCAUGUGUGUGCGCAUGUGUGUGCAUACAUGCAUCCAGGCAGUGUGUGUGUCUGUGUGUGUGUGUCCAGGGGCUAUGCCUCACACACAGACUGCCUGGGGUGCUGGCCAUUCCUCCUCGCCAUGGGUCCCCUGCCUUCAUCUGCAGCUCCAUCCUCCAUCCUCCCAGUCUGCCUGUCUGGCCGGCCCCCCCGUGCCCACUGCAGAUACGGUGGCGUCUAGCACUGAUAGUGGAUGUGCUGGUGGACCUUGCCCUCCACGUGUGAGUGUGUGUGAGAGUGUGUGUGUGUGUGUGUGUGGAUGUCUGUGUAGAGUUUGGGGUACAACUUAGGGCCAGCAACUGGGCCUGGGCCCAGUAAGUGCUGGGGGGCUGCCGGAGACCCAUGCUCCUCACACAGCCCCACACCAGGGCCAGCGCUGAGGGCGGCCAACGAGGGAAGGUCCUUGUCUCCG